AGUGGAUGGGGAGCAACCUAGUUGUGCGUGUGUAAAGGUAGUGCCAAGAAAAGCGAUGAUCAUGUUGAAAAUCAAUUCCCGGUACCCGAAACCGACACAGGUGGGCAAGUAGAGAAUACUAAGGGGCGCGAGGUAACUCUCUCCAAGGAACUCGGCAAAAUGACCCCGUAACUUAGGGAGAAGGGGUGCCACCGAGAGGUGGUCGCAGUGAAGAGGCCCAGGCGACUGUUUAGCAAAAACAUAGGUCUCUGCAAACUCGAAAGAGGAGGUAUAGGGGCUGACGCCUGCCCAGUGCCGGAAGGUUAAAGAAGUUGGUCAGUUUUAGGAUGAAGCUAGCGACUGAAGCCCCGGUGAACGGCGGCCGUAACUAUAACGGUCCUAAGGUAGCGAAAUUCCUUGUCGGGUAAGUUCCGACCCGCACGAAAGGCGUAACGAUCUGGGCGCUGUCUCGGAGAGAGGCUCGGCGAAAUAGGAUUGUCUGUGAAGAUACGGACUACCUGCAUUUGGACAGAAAGACCCUAUGAAGCUUUACUAUAGCUUGGAAUUGUGUUCGGGCUUCCUGUGCGCAGGAUAGGUGGGAGGCGUAGAAGGUAUUCUUGUGGGGAUACUGGAGCCAACGGUGAGAUACCACUCUCAGGAGGCUAGAAUUCUAACUUAAUUAAGGACAGUUUCGGGUGGGUAGUUUGACUGGGGCGGUCGCCUCCAAAAAGGUAACGGAGGCGUACAAAGGUUCCCUCAGACUGGUUGGAAAUCAGUCGAAGAGUGCAAAGGCAGAAGGGAGCUUGACUGCGAGAAGUACAGUUCGAGCAGGGUGGAAACACGGUCUUAGUGAUCCGACGGUGCUGUGUGGAAGGGCCGUCGUUCAACGGAUAAAAGUUACUCUAGGAUAACAGGCUGAUCUCCCCCAAGAGUUCACAUCGACGGGGAGGUUUGGCACCUCGAUGUCGGCUCAUCGCAACCUGGGGCGGAAGUACGUCCCAAGGGUUGGGCUGUUCGCCCAUUAAAGCGGUACGUGAGCUGGGUUCAGAACGUCGUGAGACAGUUCGGUCCAUAUCCGAUGUAGGCGUGAGAAUAUUAAGAGGAGCCUUCCUUAGUACGAGAGGACCGGGAAGGACGCACCGCUGGUGUACCUGUUAUGAUGCCAAUUGUAAACGCAGGGUAGCCAAGUGCGGAGAGGAUAACCGCUGAAAGCAUCUAAGUGGGAAGCCCACCUCAAGAUGAGUAUUCUGGUGUAAGGUCACGGGAAGACGACCCGUAAAUAGGCACGAGGUGGAAGUGCAGAGAUGUAUGAAGCCGAAGUGUACUAAUAGACCGUCGGCUUGACC
RNAcentral lists this ribosomal RNA (1325 nucleotides) under metagenome. RNAcentral's name for it is "bacterial LSU rRNA". It matches the Rfam family "Bacterial large subunit ribosomal RNA", at positions 1561 to 2925 of the family's 2925-position model. The record is from RNAcentral.